CGGGUUGUAAAGCACUUUUAGUUGGAGGGAGAGGGGUGUUUUUAAUAGAGACAUUCUGAGACGUGCCCGACAGAAAAAGCACUGGCUAACUCUGUGC
RNAcentral lists this ribosomal RNA (97 nucleotides) under uncultured bacterium. Its description in RNAcentral is "partial 16S ribosomal RNA". The record is from RNAcentral.